GCCGGAGUGGUGGAAUUGGUAGACACGCAGGUUUUAGGUACCUGUGCCUUCGGGCAUGGGGGUUCGAGUCCCCCCUUCGGCAC
RNAcentral lists this transfer RNA (83 nucleotides) under Nocardioides psychrotolerans. RNAcentral's name for it is "tRNA-Leu". It matches the Rfam family "tRNA". Rfam says of the family: Transfer RNA (tRNA) molecules are approximately 80 nucleotides in length. Their secondary structure includes four short double-helical elements and three loops (D, anti-codon, and T loops). Lineage: Bacteria; Bacillati; Actinomycetota; Actinomycetes; Propionibacteriales; Nocardioidaceae. The record is from RNAcentral.